RNAcentral lists this ribosomal RNA (229 nucleotides) under uncultured bacterium. RNAcentral describes it as "partial 16S ribosomal RNA". It matches the Rfam family "Bacterial small subunit ribosomal RNA", at positions 568 to 796 of the family's 1533-position model. The record is from RNAcentral.
UGCGUAGGCGGACUAAUAAGUCAGUGGUGAAAUCUUGCAGCUUAACUGUAAAACUGCCAUUGAUACUGUUAGUCUUGAAUUUAGUUGAGGUAGGCGGAAUGUAUUGUGUAGCGGUGAAAUGCAUAGAUAUAAUACAGAACACCGAUUGCGAAGGCAGCUUACUAAGCUAUAAUUGACGCUGAGGCACGAAAGCGUGGGGAGCGAACAGGAUUAGUUACCCUGGUAGUCC